This 376-nucleotide long non-coding RNA is filed under the name Sus scrofa (pig). Its description in RNAcentral is "lncRNA (ENSSSCG00035037399.1)". Lineage: Eukaryota; Metazoa; Chordata; Mammalia; Artiodactyla; Suidae. The record is from RNAcentral.
CAGCAUCUCUUGCCAUCUCGCCUCUCUUCCCAGUUCAACAGUGUUGGACAACUCGAGAAAUUCAGGUUGGCCAGGAAGGCUACAGAAGCCGACCCUGGAUGACUUAAAUAAAAAAAGAAGAGUGAAUUGAAUGAAUGCGUCAAUUCACAGUCAUGAUGGCAAAACCGAAGAACAGGUUGAGAGGAUGGUCGGAGCCAUGGGAGAGAAAGGCGGUCAGAAUCACAACACAAAUCAGACCACAGUGCAGCCUGAGACAUCAGAAAGAAUCUCUACUGCUCUCGCUUCUCUGUCGCCGCCUCCAGAGUCAAAGCCCCAGGGGAAACAGCCAACUGGCCCCAGUUCCCAUGAAGUGAGGAGGAGCUGGUGUCUGAGCUGA